This 952-nucleotide long non-coding RNA is filed under the name Chinchilla lanigera (long-tailed chinchilla). Its description in RNAcentral is "lncRNA (ENSCLAG00000026821.1)". Lineage: Eukaryota; Metazoa; Chordata; Mammalia; Rodentia; Chinchillidae. The record is from RNAcentral.
GACUAAAUGUGGUCCCUGCUGGGAGGUGCUGUUGCAAAGGGUAAACAGGGCCCCAUGGAAGUGUGGCUGAGGGGCUUGGGUUUAAGAUGAGAACAGAGGCCGUGACACAUAAUUCUGACCAGGAGCAAGGAGCAAGGAGCAGGGACCGAGGAGAAGGCUGUCUGAAGGAGGCGCCUUUUAGACACUCCUCCACCCUGGAAGGGACGCCGGCAGGCCCAGGAACGGGAGGUCUCCCUGAGUCCUGACCCCACGCAAGACAGCUCCUCUUCGGACUUCUCCAGCAGAUGGACCAGGUGCCUAGAUCAGCCCAUGAGGGGCCCUUGGUUUCCUUAGGUUCUGAUGCUAUUUUCAGGAAUCAAACACUGAAAAUUCAGGCCAGGGCACGAGUGGCCUGCAGGUGGCUUUAGAAGCUCAUGUUCUAGUGGAAAGAUCUACAGAUCUGAUGGAAGAGAUGGUUUGGAUGUUGAAGGUAUAGCUCAGUGGUUAAACUUGUGCGAAUUAAAACACACCAGGCCCCAGUAUGGGGGGAGGGGUACAGGGAACAAGAGAGAUUGAAGAAGAACGAAGGCGAGGAAGGAGGAAGGAAGGAAGCAGAAAAAGUAAGAACAAGAGCUUGCAUUUCCUAGCACUUCCAAUUUAUAAAAGAAACCCAGCCUGAUAACGACGCGUGCAGAGUGUCAGCUAUUAGAGCUCAAUGCCGCCUUCAGCUCGGCUCCCUCAGAGCGCCUUUGUGAAAACCAUACUCGGGAAAGCAGGGGAAGCUGUCUGACUUCUCUCAGGAGCCUGGGUUAAAGUUGCAAUCUCAUUUUGCCCGAGAUAACCAGAAAUACUCUAAGUUGUCUAAGUGCGCAGAAACGGAUUUGAUCUCCCCUUCUGAUUGCUUAGCAGAAGUCAAGCAGCCAAUUUUUCAACAACGUCUCCGUAUCAUGAAACUUCCUAAAAGUCUUCAAGG